CUCUCCCACCUCACUCAUCCCUCCCCCCUGAGUUCUCUCCGCUCUCCCCAAACCCAAUUCCUCCUCCACUUCCCAAAUCCCAGCGAGAACCGCUGCCUGCCGACGGCGACGGCGCGCCGAGCAGCUGCCGGCCUCCACUUCCCCAGAUCGGCCGGUUCUCCCACGAGCUCCCGUCCGCCACCACCCAGCAGAACCCGUCACCAGGUAAGUCCGCCGUCCUCAUAGGGGAGAGCGGCGGCGAAGAACCCGCUUCCUCUUCGUGAGGCUUCGAUGGCCACGAGAGCUUUGAGGGAGGUGGUGGGGAGGAGGAGGGCCGGAGCGGCGGGGAUUGGAGGGAGCAGACGCUUCUCCGACAGCGCCGCCGCCGCCGCCGCUGCUGCUCCGGCGGGGGCGGUGGAGAAGGGGGACGGGGGAGGGGGGAAGGCGGUGAACCUCUUCACCGCCGUCAACCAGGCGCUCCACAUCGCGCUCGACACCGACCCGCGCUCUUAUGUCUUUGGAGAGGAUGUGGGUUUUGGGGGCGUCUUUCGCUGCACAACAGGGCUAGCUGAUCGAUUUGGGAAACAACGAGUAUUCAAUACACCAUUGUGUGAACAGGGUAUUGCCGGAUUUGCUAUUGGCUUAGCAGCAAUGGGAAAUAGAGCUAUUGCCGAAAUCCAGUUUGCAGAUUAUAUCUUUCCAGCAUUUGAUCAGAUCGUCAACGAAGCAGCAAAAUUCAGAUACCGAAGUGGAAAUGAAUUUAACUGUGGAGGUUUAACAAUUCGAUCUCCAUAUGGUGCUGUUGGACAUGGCGGUCACUACCAUUCACAGUCACCAGAAGCUUUUUUCUGCCAUGUUCCUGGCCUGAAGGUUGUCAUACCUCGAAGUCCACGUGAGGCCAAGGGACUGUUGCUGGCCAGCAUUCGUGACCCAAACCCAGUCAUCUUUUUCGAGCCAAAGUGGCUGUACCGUUUGUCUGUUGAGGAAGUCCCUGAGGGAGACUAUAUGCUGCCUUUAUCUCAGGCAGAAGUAAUUCGCAAAGGAAGUGAUAUAACACUUAUUGGUUGGGGAGCUCAACUUGCAGUGCUGGAACAAGCAUGUGAAGAUGCUUCAAAGGACGGAAUUUCUUGCGAGCUCAUUGAUCUAAGAACGCUAAUUCCAUGGGACAAGGAAACAGUUGAGGCCUCUGUCAGCAAGACCGGAAAGCUUCUUAUUAGUCAUGAGGCCCCGAUCACCGGAGGGUUUGGUGCGGAAAUCGCUGCAUCCAUUGCUGAGCGCUGCUUCCAGAGGUUAGAAGCCCCUGUCGCGAGGGUCUGCGGCCUCGACACCCCUUUCCCUCUUGUUUAUGAACCAUUCUACAUGCCCACAAAGAACAAGAUCCUGGAUGCUAUUAAAGCAACUGUAAAUUACUGAGGUUGGUGCAGGAGAGCAGCAAGCUGGUAUAUAUUGCUGUAUGUGGAAACUGCCAUUAUGUAUGUAUGUGUAUAAGUGACUAUAUAUUGCUGGUCCGUGGCCUAAAUGUGCAUCCAGAAACCAGUUUGUAGAGAGAGAGAAGAAAAACAAGUUAAAGGCUGAUGAAGCAUUCCUUUAUAGAAAGCCGUCGUAAUUGUAAAAGGAAAAUUGGUAUCUUCCAUUAAAACAAUUUCAUUACCACAGGGAAA
Molecule: non-coding RNA, 1640 nt
Organism: Aegilops tauschii subsp. strangulata
Lineage: Eukaryota; Viridiplantae; Streptophyta; Magnoliopsida; Poales; Poaceae
Source: RefSeq, a predicted model, not a curated record